UAACGCAAAGAAUCUCAAUCUCCCCUUCGUUAUCCGCCCUUUCCGCUGCCCCUCUCCUUCUCUUUGAUAAUCGACUCUUCUAUCCUCCUUCAUUAUCUGAUCUCUCCCCUUCCCCUCUCCCUCUCUCUUUGAUAACGCCCAAAUCCGUGCUUUCCCCUGCCCCUCUCCCUCUCCCCCUCCCCCUCCCCAUCUCUAAAUUAAAUUGACGUUCGGACUCCUCGCUUCAGUUUCCCUCUCCCUCUCGCUAGCUAUCUCUAAAUUCAUCCUUAUUUCGACGAUCGAGCUCCUCACCUCAAUUCCUUCCGUUUUCAACCAUUGGCAAUGUAAGUAUGGAUAUUGGUAGUAACUGCUACGGCUUUCCAAUCCCUAUAAAUUAUGUUGUGAUUCUAUAAAUACCUUCUGCUUCAAUUUUGAUGGAACAAAGAAGGUUUUUUUUCCAAUUGUGUCGGAGAUUGAUUGGAGGAGUAGAAAGCUAUUAAGGCAUUCACCAGAGAUAAAGAACUCCUGUGUGGUCCCUUUGAUCCCUUGGAUGCUCUCUAAGUUACCAGUCCUUUUUUGGCUACGCUUGACAUAUUCUGUUCUUUCCUCCUGUAUGACUGUUAACAUAUUGAUGUAUCGCAGGCUAUUGUAUGUGUUAUAGCGUUCCAGAUUGCAAAUUUUGGUGAGAGCAUGAUAGGUGCAGCACUACAAGAUAAGGAGGGUUUUCAAUGGCUCAACAACGACCUUGUCAAUGUAAUCAACAUCUCCAUCGGCAGCAUUCUGGCUUCUGAUGCAGCAGCUCAUUCUAAGGAGUUGACAGGGAUGACAUACCCUUGUUGACAUGUUAUCACGUUCCAUCAACCUAUGAGAACUCAUUGACGUUGACAUCCUUGUAUGAAGAGAAUAUCUCCAUGAACUGGAAGAGGGAGAAAUUCUGCUCCUGCUCAGCUUUCAACAUCCACUGAGAAUGGAAGUAUUAUGCAAAAUUCUAGUAAGACUGUAAAGCCAUUCAGUGUGCAUCCUUUGCCUUCAUUUAUUCUCAGCCAUAAAAAAAACAGUGAUAAAAAAGAUGAUAAAUGAGGGUCACUCAACCAACAAGCAAGCAAUUGUUACUUCAAAUCGACUUUAUGACGAUGAAGAAGAACCAUCGAUUGAGGAGUAUUAUGAUGAUGAGGAGAGCUCUUAUGAAGUUAACAAAAAAAAUGAAGGUUGAGAAUUCAGAUCCUGAUUAUGUCCCUAGCGAAAAUGUUCCUACUACUGCUCAAGUCAAUUUUCUUUUGCUGCUAAGAUCAAAGACGAAGAAGAAGCAUAUAAAUUAUUUACUGAAGCUAUGGGCAUUCUUGCAGCUAUCUGGAAAUUUCAUCAGGAGAAUGAGUUUAGAUGUCUUAGUCUUAGAAGAAUAAAUGUCAAGUCAAUAAAUUUAGGUCUACGAGUUUGUGAAUCUUAUUGUUGGAAGUUUUUAUCAGCUUAGAUAAUGUGACAAAGAACUUAUGUUUAGAUCUUUAUGUUUCUUUAAUAUUGACUUUAUGAAUGAUACGGUUUGUGUGUUAAAUAUGAUAUAGUUUUCAAAUUUAUUACUUCAUUUUCAAAGCUUCACAAUUUUUUGUGUUGUUGCCUAUCCAAUUUUAAAUUUAUAUAAUGUAACAAACUCUUGUUGCCUUUUUAUAAUUGUAUGCAUAUACCCUUGAUUUAUCAAACCAAAUACUAUUUACAAGAGCAAAUUCGCUUUUGCGUAAGUGAUUGGGUGAUGAAACCAAAACUUACUUCUAACACUAUUUAUGUCUUCGAAUCUUUUAAGUCAAGAUUCGUUUUUUGGAAAACCUUGUUUUAUAAUGUAAAAACAUGAUAUUUAUGUGCAGUUACUUUUGUCUCUACUAAAAAUUUGCAGUCCUUUUUAUUUAUGCAAAUAGUCCACCAGUCAUCAUCCAUAAUUGUGUGUCAAUCACGAAUAGCUAAGUUAUCCACACAAAUCUUCUGCCCAUUUGAGAAAACAUAAGCUUCGGAUAAAUGGGACUGAAGAAACAUCUAUCACGAGGAUUUUGGAGCACUGCAGGUCAGUCAUUCGCUAUGGAAUUUGACUAGAUUUUUAUCGAUGUAUAUUUUCUUUUCAAAAGUAAUGCUUUAUAUAGUUUGUAUAGUAUUACAACAAUAGUUUUAUUACUGGUGCAAUUACAAUGUUGACUUAUUCAUAUCUCACAUUUCAAAAGAUUGAUAAUGUAUCAUCUGAUCGAGUUUCGGGAAUACGAUGUAUAUGUCGUUUGCUUUAAAUCAGCAUUGUGUGUUCUAUAUAUAUUGCUAACAUAUGUGUUACAUAAAGGUAUCUACAUUAAUAGAAACUAAAAUGGAUCAUUAUGUUACAAGCCUUCUUCGAUUCCAGGUUUCUCCGAACCAAUGCGGUCCAAAUGUAUGUACUAAUGCCUACUCAAGUUUAUAAAUAGGAGUGACAUGAUACCUUGGGCUAAUGAGUUUCUACUUCUCACUUCCAUGCUGUGCAAAACUGCAGAAGAGAGGCAUAUACGAGAUAGGAGAGCUUUUCUGCUCCAUAGCCUUUUUGUAGAUGUUGCAAUUUUUAGAGCCAUUGCUUCCAUACAGUAUGUAAUGGAAAAACGUAUUGCUUCUUCAAUUGAGAAAGAUGAAAUUUUGCACUUCGAGAUAGUAGGGGAUUUCAACAUUACUGUCACCAGAGAUACUUCAGAUGCAAGCUGCAAGUUGGAUACAAAGAUUGAUGGGAAUAGGAAAACGGGAAUGGACCGCAAACAUCUUAUAGAGAGAAACUUACUGAAAGGAAUCACUGCUGCUGAAAAGACAACAACUCAUGAUUUCAUCACCUUGGGCGUCAUGAAUGUGUGGUAUUGUGGUUAUAUUGCAAUCGUGAAAGUCAACAACUUUGACAAAAGUAAAUUGGACCCUUUGCAAGCCAUUGAUAUUGAGGACCAACCUGAUGGGGGAUCUAAUGCUCAAAACAUUAACAGUUAGAGAAUGUUUCUUCACGCGAAACCUAUAAAAGAGCAGAUAAGAGCAGCUAAUCACGCUAUGAGCUCAAAGCAUGAGGAGCUUACUGUAGGCCAAGCUUUUGUAGAGAAAUUGUUAAAUGAUAGUCUAGCUAGGCUUGACGAAGAGAAGACUGACGAAAACGUCUUCAUGAGAUGGGAACUUGGAGCUUGCUGGAUACAGCACCUGCAAGAUCAAAAGAAUGCAGAAAAAGAGAAGAAACCUGUGGCUGAUAAAGAUAAGAAACAUAACAGCGAGAAGACUAAAGGUGAAACAAAGGUAGAGGGACUUGGAAUGCCUCUUAAAUUUCUUAAGAAUACAAAGAAGUUAGAUGGCUAAGAAGCUUCUUCCUCUUUGGAUAUGAAAACAUCUGUAUGUCAACGAUGGUGAGAACCAGAAUGAUCAGCCUUUGUCUACUGAAGAUAAAUGAGACAUUGUAGCACCUGACAAAAACCAACAUUUGCUAAAAAAUUAUUAUCUGAUCCAGCAUUUACAAGGCUAAAAGAAUCUAAAACAGGACUUCACCUGCAGGUAUGUAGGGGGAGAAGCAGGAAUUGUUGAC
Molecule: RNA transcript, 3532 nt
Organism: Asparagus officinalis (garden asparagus)
Lineage: Eukaryota; Viridiplantae; Streptophyta; Magnoliopsida; Asparagales; Asparagaceae
Gene name: protein TSS-like
Exons: 9
Source: RefSeq, a predicted model, not a curated record